RNAcentral lists this ribosomal RNA (440 nucleotides) under uncultured bacterium. Its description in RNAcentral is "partial 16S ribosomal RNA". It matches the Rfam family "Bacterial small subunit ribosomal RNA", at positions 338 to 795 of the family's 1533-position model. The record is from RNAcentral.
CCUACGGGCGGCAGCAGUGGGGGAUAUUGCACAAUGGGGGAAACCCUGAUGCAGCGACGCCGCGUGUGGGAAGACGGUCCUGUGGAUUGUAAACCACUGUCCCCAGGGAAGAAGAUGACGGUACCUGGGGAGGAAGCUCCGGCCAACUACGUGCCCGCAGGCGCGGUCAUACGUAGGGAGCGAGCGUUGUCCGGAAUUACUGGGUUUAAAGGGAGCGUAGGGGGGACUGCAAGUUGGGUGUCAAAUCUACCGGCUCAACCGGUAGCCGCAGUUAAAACUGCAGUUCUUGAGUGAAGUAGAGGCAUGCGGAAUGCCUGGUGUAGCGGUGAAAUGCGUAGAUAUUAGGAGGAACUCCAGUGGCGAAGGCGGCCUGCUGGGCUUUUACUGACGCUGAGGCUCGAAAGUGUGGGGAGCGAACAGGAUUAGAUACCCUGGUAGUC